RNAcentral lists this ribosomal RNA (492 nucleotides) under uncultured bacterium. RNAcentral's name for it is "partial 16S ribosomal RNA". It matches the Rfam family "Bacterial small subunit ribosomal RNA", at positions 29 to 507 of the family's 1533-position model. The record is from RNAcentral.
AGUGAACGCUGGCGGUAGGCCUAACACAUGCAAGUCGAACGGCAGCACAGUAAGAGCUUGCUCUUACGGGUGGCGAGUGGCGGACGGGUGAGGAAUACAUCGGAAUCUACUUUUUCGUGGGGGAUAACGUAGGGAAACUUACGCUAAUACCGCAUAUGACCUACGGGUGAAAUCAGGAGAGCUUCGCACCUUGCGCGUUUGAAUGAGCCGAUGUCGGAUUAGCUAGUUGGCGGGGUAAAGGCCCACCAAGGCGACGAUCCGUAGCUGGUCUGAGAGGAUGAUCAGCCACACUGGAACUGAGACACGGUCCAGACUCCUACGGGAGGCAGCAGUGGGGAAUAUUGCGCAAUGGGCGCAAGCCUGAUCCAGCAAUGCCGCGUGAGUGAAGAAGGCCUUCGGGUUGUAAAGCCCUUUUGUUGGGAAAGAAAAGCAGCAGGUUAAUACCCGGCUGUUCUGACGGUACCCAAAGAAUAAGCACCGGCUAACUUCGUG